RNAcentral lists this ribosomal RNA (303 nucleotides) under uncultured bacterium. RNAcentral's name for it is "partial 16S ribosomal RNA". It matches the Rfam family "Bacterial small subunit ribosomal RNA", at positions 507 to 809 of the family's 1533-position model. The record is from RNAcentral.
AGCAGCCGCCGCGGGAAUACGGAGGGAGCUAGCGUUGUUCGGAAUUACUGGGCGUAAAGCGCACGUAGGCGGCUUUGUAAGUCAGAGGUGAAAGCCUGGAGCUCAACUCCAGAACUGCCUUUGAGACUGCAUCGCUUGAAUCCAGGAGAGGUGAGUGGAAUUCCGAGUGUAGAGGUGAAAUUCGUAGAUAUUCGGAAGAACACCAGUGGCGAAGGCGGCUCACUGGACUGGUAUUGACGCUGAGGUGCGAAAGCGUGGGGAGCAAACAGGAUUAGAUACCCGCGUAGUCCCUGUCUCUUAUAA